RNAcentral lists this ribosomal RNA (253 nucleotides) under uncultured bacterium. RNAcentral's name for it is "partial 16S ribosomal RNA". It matches the Rfam family "Bacterial small subunit ribosomal RNA", at positions 524 to 776 of the family's 1533-position model. The record is from RNAcentral.
UACGUAGGGGGCAAGCGUUGUCCGGAAUUAUUGGGCGUAAAGAGCGUGUAGGCGGUUCAAUAAGUUCGCUGUAAAAGUCCAGGGCUCAACCCUGGAAAGCCGGUGGAUACUGUUGAACUAGAGUUCGGAAGAGGCGAGUGGAAUUCCUGGUGUAGCGGUGAAAUGCGCAGAUAUCAGGAGGAACACCUAUAGCGAAGGCAGCUCGCUGGGACGAUACUGACGCUGAGACGCGAAAGCGUGGGGAGCAAACAGG